This 407-nucleotide ribosomal RNA is filed under the name Panopeus lacustris (knotfinger mud crab). RNAcentral's name for it is "partial 16S ribosomal RNA". The record is from RNAcentral. Lineage: Eukaryota; Metazoa; Arthropoda; Malacostraca; Decapoda; Panopeidae.
ACUGGUAUGAAGGGUUGGACAAAGGAAAAGCUGUCUUUAUAUUAGAAGUUGAAUUUUACUUUUAAGUGAAAAGGCUUAAAUAAAUCAAAGGGACGAUAAGACCCUAUAAAGCUUUAUAAAUUAUUUAAAUUUAGUUAAUUUAAAAUAUAAAAAUUAAUUUUACAUUAUUUUAUUUUAUUGGGGCGAUAUGAGUAUAAUUAUUGUUAACUGCUUAAAAAGAGAACAAAUUUGGGUGAGUAUUAAGUUAAAUGAUCCUUUCUAAAGAUUAGAAGACUAAGUUACUUUAGGGAUAACAGCGUUAUUUCUUUUGAGAGUUCAUAUCGAAAAAGAAGAUUGCGACCUCGAUGUUAAAUUAAAAUAUCUAUAUAAUGCAUUCGUUAUAAAAGAGGGUCUGUCCAAUAAUUAUU